Molecule: ribosomal RNA, 465 nt
Filed under: uncultured bacterium
Lineage: Bacteria
Description: partial 16S ribosomal RNA
Rfam family: Bacterial small subunit ribosomal RNA
Source: RNAcentral
GACGAACGCUGGCGGCGUGCUUAACACAUGCAAGUCGAACGGAAAGGCCCUGCUUGCAGGGUACUCGAGUGGCGAACGGGUGAGUAACACGUGGGUGAUCUGCCCUGCACUUCGGGAUAAGCCUGGGAAACUGGGUCUAAUACCGGAUAGGAGCCAUUUUUAGUGUGAUGGUUGGAAAGUUUUUUCGGUGUAGGAUGAGCUCGCGGCCUAUCAGCUUGUUGGUGGGGUAAUGGCCUGCCAAGGCGGCGACGGGUAGCCGGCCUGAGAGGGUGGACGGCCACAUUGGGACUGAGAUACGGCCCAGACUCCUACGGGAGGCAGCAGUGGGGAAUAUUGCACAAUGGGCGCAAGCCUGAUGCAGCGACGCCGCGUGGGGGAUGACGGCCUUCGGGUUGUAAACUCCUUUCGCUAGGGACGAAGCUUUUUGUGACGGUACCUAGAGAAGAAGCACCGGCUAACUACGUG